This 125-nucleotide transfer RNA is filed under the name Nacella clypeater. Its description in RNAcentral is "tRNA-Val". Lineage: Eukaryota; Metazoa; Mollusca; Gastropoda; Nacellidae. The record is from RNAcentral.
CGUUGAAAAAUGAGAUAAGUCGUAACACAGUAGGGGUAACGGAAGCUGCCCCUAACUAAAUAAAAUGUAGUUUAAGAAUUACAUAUCAUUUACACUGAUAAAAUUUCUAUUAAGGAACAUUUUAA